UACGGAGGGAGCUAGCGUUGUUUGGAAUUACUGGGCGUAAAGCGUGCGUAGGCGGCUAUUCAAGUCAGAGGUGAAAGCCUGGAGCUCAACUCCAGAACUGCCUUUGAAACUAGAUAGCUAGAAUCUUGGAGAGGUGAGUGGAAUUCCGAGUGUAGAGGUGAAAUUCGUAGAUAUUCGGAAGAACACCAGUGGCGAAGGCGACUCACUGGACAAGUAUUGACGCUGAGGUACGAAAGCGUGGGGAGCAAACAGGAUUAGAUACCCUGGUAGUCCACGCCGUAAACGAUGAUAACUAGCUGUCCGGGCUCUCAGAGCUUGGGUGGCGCAGCUAACGCAUUAAGUACUCCGCCUGGGAAGUACGCUCGCAAGAGUGAA
Molecule: ribosomal RNA, 375 nt
Filed under: uncultured bacterium
Lineage: Bacteria
Description: bacterial SSU rRNA
Rfam family: Bacterial small subunit ribosomal RNA
Source: RNAcentral